GACGAACGCUGGCGGCGUGCCUAAUACAUGCAAGUCGAGCGAAGUUUUUCUGGUGCUUGCACUAGAAAAACUUAGCGGCGAACGGGUGAGUAACACGUAAAGAACCUGCCUCAUAGACUGGGACAACUAUUGGAAACGAUAGCUAAUACCGGAUAACAGUAUUUCUCGCAUGAGAGAUAUUUAAAAGUUGGUUAUGCUAACACUAUGAGAUGGCUUUGCGGUGCAUUAGCUAGUUGGUGGGGUAAAGGCCCACCAAGGCGACGAUGCAUAGCCGACCUGAGAGGGUGAUCGGCCACACUGGGACUGAGACACGGCCCAGACUCCUACGGGAGGCAGCAGUAGGGAAUCUUCCGCAAUGGGCGAAAGCCUGACGGAGCAACGCCGCGUGAGUGAAGAAGGAUUUCGGUUCGUAAAGCUCUGUUGUUAGGGAAGAAUGGAUAUGUAGUAACUAUACAUGUAAGAGACGGUACCUAACCAGAGAGCCACGGCUAACUACGUG
This 499-nucleotide ribosomal RNA is filed under the name uncultured bacterium. RNAcentral's name for it is "partial 16S ribosomal RNA". It matches the Rfam family "Bacterial small subunit ribosomal RNA", at positions 28 to 507 of the family's 1533-position model. The record is from RNAcentral.